AAUUUAUGUAUUCCACAUCUAAAAACUAUUCCAACGCUCUCGAGAACUUGCAGGACUCAAAAAUUGCUCUUUACACUACGCUCUCUCCACUGUUUGCAACUGCAGACGACAAUCGUCUGGAGACCUCCGAAAACUUGGUUAGACAACAAAAAUCUGAUUCGGACGUAAAAAUAAACAUUGAUAACCACACGAGUUUAUCUGAGGAUGAGAACUUGGAAAAUCAAAAAAUAGAAGAAAUCGAUUUUCCAAUCAAAGAUUUCGAGAAAUUUGAACAACCUGAACAUGAGAUGUCCUAU
Molecule: long non-coding RNA, 296 nt
Organism: Octopus sinensis (East Asian common octopus)
Lineage: Eukaryota; Metazoa; Mollusca; Cephalopoda; Octopoda; Octopodidae
Exons: 3
Source: RefSeq, a predicted model, not a curated record